UACGUAGGCGGAUUGUUAAGUCAGUGGUGAAAGUCUACGGCUCAACCGUAGAAGUGCCAUUGAUACUGGCAGUCUUGAGUACAGUAGAGGUAGGCGGAAUUUAUGGUGUAGCGGUGAAAUGCAUAGAUACCAUAAAGAACACCUAUAGCGAAGGCAGCUUACUAUGCUGUAACUGACGCUGAGGCACGAAAGCGUGGGGAGCGAACAGGAUUAGAUACCCUGGUAGUCC
RNAcentral lists this ribosomal RNA (229 nucleotides) under uncultured bacterium. Its description in RNAcentral is "partial 16S ribosomal RNA". It matches the Rfam family "Bacterial small subunit ribosomal RNA", at positions 568 to 796 of the family's 1533-position model. The record is from RNAcentral.